AAAAGUAAGCAAGGGCGCAUGGAGGAUGCCUUGGCUCUCAGAGGCGAAGAAGGACGUGAUAAGCUGCGAAAAGCUUCGGGGAUUCGCAAAUAGGAAUUGAUCCGAAGAUGUCCGAAUGGGGCAACCCGGCUGCAUGAAGUGCAGUCACUCAUCGUAAGAUGAGGGCAAACCCCGGGAACUGAAACAUCUAAGUACCGGGAGGAAGAGAAAACAAUAGUGAUUCCCUAAGUAGUGGCGAGCGAAAUGGGAAUAGCCCAAACCUGAGGCGUUACGGCGCCUUGGGGGUUGUAGGACUGCGCUGUGUUAGUUUAAAUCGAAUUUGAAUUACCUGGGAAGGUAAGCCGCAGAAGGUGAAAGCCCUGUAAGAGUAUUAUUUAAACGACUAGCAGUAUCCUGAGUAGGGCGGAACAGGAGAAAUUCCGUCUGAAUCUGCCGGCACCAUCCGGUAAGGCUAAAUACUACUGAGAGACCGAUAGUGAACAAGUACCGUGAGGGAAAGGUGAAAAGUACCGUGAAUAACGGGGUGAAAUAGAACCUGAAACCGUGCGCUUACAAGCGGUCAGAGCCCUUUAGUGGGGUGAUGGCGUGCCUUUUGCAUAAUGAGCCUACGAGUUACUCCUCACUGGCAAGGUUAAGGGUUUUUAAGCCCGGAUCCGGAGCGAAAGCGAGUCUUAACAGGGCGCUUAGUCAGUGGGGGUAGACGCGAAACCUUGUGAUCUACCCUUGUCCAGGAUGAAGUUGUGGUAACACACAAUGGAGGUCCGAACCAGUUAACGUUGAAAAGUUUUUGGAUGAGGUGAGGGUAGGGGUGAAAGGCCAAUCAAACUGGGAAAUAGCUCGUACUCCCCGAAAUGUUUUUAGGAACAGCGUGGGGUUUAUUCUAACGGAGGUAGAGCUACCGAUAGGACUAGGGGGAGUCACAUCCUACCAAAUCCUGACGAACUCCGAAUGCCGUUAGAUUUGCCCUGCAGUGAGGGUCAGGGUGCUAAGGUCCUGAUCCGAGAGGGAAAGAACCCAGACCUACAGCUAAGGUCCCUAAAUCUGUGUUAAGUUGAACUAAGGCGGUCCAGUUGCAGAGACAGCCAGGAUGUUGGCUUGGAAGCAGCCAUUCAUUUAAAGAGUGCGUAACAGCUCACUGGUCGAGCGACAGGGCAUCGAUAAUAAUCGGGCAUCAAACACAGUACCGAAGCUUAGGAUUGUACAGCAAUGUACACUGGUAGGGGAGCAUUCUAUUCAGCGACGAAGGUACCUGGUGAUGGGUAUUGGAGCGGAUAGAAAAGCAAAUGUAGGCAUAAGUAACGAUAAGGCAGGAGAGAAACCUGCCCACCGAAAGACUAAGGUUUCCGCGGCAAUGCUAAUCAGCCGCGGGUUAGUCGGGACCUAAGGCGAAGCCGGAGGGCGUAGUCGAUGGACAAUCAGUUAAUAUUCUGAUACUACCUUAUAUAGCGAUGGGGUGACGGAGUAGUGAAAGGCCCGCCCGGAGACGGAAUACCGGGUUAAAGGGAGUAGGUAUUGGUUUUGCAGGCAAAUCCGCAAGACUAGCUGAACCUGAUAGUACUGCAAUCCUACGGGAGCGCAGAUAGUGGCCCUAAUCAGACUUCCAAGAAAAACCUCUAGUAAUGUAUAAGGUACCCGUACCGUAAACCGACACAGGUAGUUGAGGAGAGAAUCCUAAGGUGCUCGAGUGAUUCAUGGCUAAGGAACUAGGCAAAAUUGUCCUGUAACUUCGGGAGAAGGGACGCUUCCCUUGCAGCAAUGUAAGGAAGCCGCAGUGAAAAGAUCCAGGCGACUGUUUAACAAAAACACAUGGCUUUGCGAAAUCGAAAGAUGAAGUAUAAGGCCUGACACCUGCCCGGUGCUGGAAGGUUAAGGGGGGAACUUAGUGCGCAAGUGCGAAGGUUUGAACUGAAGCCCCAGUAAACGGCGGCCGUAACUAUAACGGUCCUAAGGUAGCGAAAUUCCUUGUCGGGUAAGUUCCGACCUGCACGAAUGGUGUAACGAUCUGGAUACUGUCUCGGCCAUGAGCUCGGUGAAAUUGUAGUAGCGGUGAAGAUGCCGCUUACCCGCAACGGGACGGAAAGACCCCAUGAACCUUUACUAUAGCUUUGCAUUGACAAUGGGUAAAAGAUGUGUAGGAUAGGUGGGAGGCUAUGAAGCGGUGUCGCCAGGCAUUGUGGAGCCACUGUUGAAAUACCACCCUUCUUUUACUUGUUGCCUAACCCGCUGUAUGGCGGGGACAUUGCAUGGUGGGUAGUUUGACUGGGGUGGUCGCCUCCAAAAGAGUAACGGAGGCUUCCAAAGGUUCGCUCAGCACGCUUGGUAACCGUGCGCAGAGUGCAAUAGCAUAAGCGAGCUUGACUGUGAGACAGACAAGUCGAUCAGGGACGAAAGUCGGGUAUAGUGAUCCGGUGGUACUGAAUGGAAGGGCCAUCGCUCAAAGGAUAAAAGGUACUCUGGGGAUAACAGGCUGAUCUCCCCCAAGAGCUCACAUCGACGGGGAGGUUUGGCACCUCGAUGUCGGCUCGUCACAUCCUGGGGCUGAAGAAGGUCCCAAGGGUUGGGCUGUUCGCCCAUUAAAGUGGCACGCGAGCUGGGUUCAGAACGUCGUGAGACAGUUCGGUCCCUAUCUGUUGUGGGCGUAAGAAGCUUGAGAGGACCUGACCUUAGUACGAGAGGACCGGGUUGGACUGACCGCUGGUGUACCAGUUGUAUCGCCAGAUGCACUGCUGGGUAGCUACGUCGGGAUGAGAUAAGCGCUGAAAGCAUCUAAGUGCGAAACUCACCUCAAGAUGAGGCUUCUAUAAAGGGACGUUGUAGAUGACGACGUUGAUAGGCUGCAGGUGUAAAGGCAGAGAUGUCAAAGCUGAGCAGUACUAAUUACCCGAACGCUUUUUUAU
RNAcentral lists this ribosomal RNA (2897 nucleotides) under Imperialibacter sp. EC-SDR9. Its description in RNAcentral is "ribosomal RNA 23s ribosomal RNA". It matches the Rfam family "Bacterial large subunit ribosomal RNA". The record is from RNAcentral. RNAcentral also lists the same sequence under 2 other names. Lineage: Bacteria; Pseudomonadati; Bacteroidota; Cytophagia; Cytophagales; Flammeovirgaceae.